GACGAAGGUGGCGAGCGUUGUUCGGAAUCACUGGGCAUAAAGCGCACGUAGGCGGCGACGUAAGUUGGGUGUGAAAUCCCCCGGCCCAACCGGGGAACUGCGCCCAGUACUGCGUUGCUUGAGGAUCCAAGGGGUGCAUGGAAUUCCCGGUGGAGCGGUGAAAUGCGUUGAUAUCGGGAGGAACUCCGGCGGCGAAAGCGGUGCACUGGUGGAUUACUGACGCUGAGGUGCGAAAGCUAGGGGAGCGAACAGG
RNAcentral lists this ribosomal RNA (253 nucleotides) under uncultured bacterium. RNAcentral describes it as "partial 16S ribosomal RNA". It matches the Rfam family "Bacterial small subunit ribosomal RNA", at positions 524 to 776 of the family's 1533-position model. The record is from RNAcentral.